AAUCCACGAAGAAUAAUUUUAAAAUCGCUACGGCGAAAAACUAAGCAUUAAUUUGAAUCAAAUAAAACAAGAUUUCCCUUGUCACAUAAUUGACUUAUGCUCAAGAGAUUAUGUUUUAGACCCUUAAGUAGCAAUAUAUGCUUAAUGGAAGAGGAGUCAUCCUUACCGACCGAUCCAAUGCCGAUAAGUGUUCCUUUGUUGUUAUCACCAAAAAUAACGCUUCCUCCUUCCUUGUGUUCUAGUUGAAGGA
Molecule: long non-coding RNA, 250 nt
Filed under: Nicotiana benthamiana
Lineage: Eukaryota; Viridiplantae; Streptophyta; Magnoliopsida; Solanales; Solanaceae
Description: long non-coding RNA (NBEN_LNC020586)
Source: RNAcentral